UACGUAGGGUGCAAGCGUUACUCGGAAUUACUGGGCGUAAAGCGUGCGCAGGCGGUGUUGUAAGACAGGUGUGAAAUCCCCGGGCUUAACCUGGGAACUGCAUUUGUGACUGCAUUGCUGGAGUGCGGCAGAGGGGGAUGGAAUUCCGCGUGUAGCAGUGAAAUGCGUAGAUAUGCGGAGGAACACCGAUGGCGAAGGCAAUCCCCUGGGCCUGCACUGACGCUCAUGCACGAAAGCGUGGGGAGCAAACAGG
This 253-nucleotide ribosomal RNA is filed under the name uncultured bacterium. RNAcentral's name for it is "partial 16S ribosomal RNA". It matches the Rfam family "Bacterial small subunit ribosomal RNA", at positions 524 to 776 of the family's 1533-position model. The record is from RNAcentral.